GCACUUAUAGUUCAACAGGAAGAACGGCUGAUUUGUAAUCAGUUGGUUGGCGGUUCGAUCCCGUCUGGGUGCUCCA
This 76-nucleotide transfer RNA is filed under the name Clostridia bacterium. RNAcentral describes it as "tRNA-Thr". It matches the Rfam family "tRNA". From Rfam's summary of the family: Transfer RNA (tRNA) molecules are approximately 80 nucleotides in length. Their secondary structure includes four short double-helical elements and three loops (D, anti-codon, and T loops). Lineage: Bacteria; Bacillati; Bacillota; Clostridia. The record is from RNAcentral.